CGUUCCCAGGCCUUACUUUUUCUUGCUGUUGUCACUGUUCAUCCAUAAAUCACUAGAAAGACAUAGUCUAGUGAGGCAGCAAAAAAAGAAAUGGGCGUACAGUUAAGAAAAAGUAAGGCCUGGUUUGGGAAAUCGCGUGAUCCACAAGGAUUUUUAUGAACGUGGGCGAUAUGUAGCCCACAAUCGUGACGUAAGGUAUUCUCCCACGCAUUCAGAGUUAAUAAGACUGUACAUGUACUGAGACAACCACCAAGCUGUGCUGCAAGUCAGAUCAGAGAACCAGCGUGGCCAGCUCUGGUGGCAGUAGCUACCUGCUAUAUAUGAUAAUGAUGACUAACUUAAGCUAUUCUUGAUCUAUACUAGCAUGUAGAAAGACACAAGAAAAGGUAAUAGUCUGAUAGAAUCUGAACACACAAUCUAGACUAGUAGAUCAUCUAAGGUAUAUAGCUAGCUAUAGUGCUUGCAAACUUCCAGUUCCAAGUCCAUGUCCAGCUUGCUGCAGGCAAAGUUUUAUUAGUCAUAGAUAUCUGCGUGGGCAGUCCAACAUCUCUAGCUCAGCAUGCCCACGCUCAUUUUCACCCUUCUACCACCCUUCUACCCUCACGCGACUUCCCGAUACAGGCUCUCCUUUUUCCUAACUCUACGUCUAUUUCUUUCUUUAUUCCUCCAAUUAAUACCGUAUUUUAUCUCAUUGAACGAUAAGACAGUAUUUUAUCUUAUUGAACGAUGUGAUAAAGAACAGAAAAAGGAGAGCCUGUGUAGAGGCUGACCAAUGUAUUUCCCUAGAGAAUUCUGACACCAUGCGUGUUGCAUUCCGCAAGUAUUGAUUGCGAUUGAUUGCGAGACAGCUGCAAAGACAAAAGAGAAGAAACUGAAGAAAACUCCAGGUACUCAGAACAUCUGAGGAUCUGCCAAGACCCUUUGGAAAAGUUUGGCAUGCCAAUGACAGAGGGAAGGGACACUGUUAUUCAUUACGAUUGGUCGUGCAAAAGCUGUGUAGUGACCAGAUGACGGAAAUACACCACUACCUAAAUGUCGUCAGACUUACAAAAAUUAUGUUUUAUGUUUGUAAACAUCAUCAUUUCUCCAUGCAUCCUUUGUGAUUGUGUGUAUCAUAAUGUUAAGAAAUAUAAGUAUGCAUUCUAUAAUUAUGGUCAUGA
Molecule: long non-coding RNA, 1160 nt
Organism: Halichondria panicea
Lineage: Eukaryota; Metazoa; Porifera; Demospongiae; Suberitida; Halichondriidae
Exons: 2
Source: RefSeq, a predicted model, not a curated record